This 235-nucleotide long non-coding RNA is filed under the name Elaeis guineensis (African oil palm). RNAcentral's name for it is "long non-coding RNA (EGUI_LNC016259)". Lineage: Eukaryota; Viridiplantae; Streptophyta; Magnoliopsida; Arecales; Arecaceae. The record is from RNAcentral.
GUCUCCAUUUCAAAAAUGAAAAAAUGAAGAUCAAAAUCGUCGAUCUCGGAGUCCUCAAAGAAGGGAUCGACAAACCUUACCUCCAAGGCAUUAUACUAACUACACGCUUUUAAAUAUUUCCAGAGGGGAGGUAUUGAUGGAGGUUCGAGCCGAGCUGCCUUAGCCUUUGAGGAUGCGAAUGAAGUCAGAGCACCACCACGAUCUAAAUAAAUACUGCUUCCACCAUUGUGACCAC